This 213-nucleotide long non-coding RNA is filed under the name Gossypium barbadense (sea-island cotton). RNAcentral describes it as "long non-coding RNA (GBAR_LNC014121)". The record is from RNAcentral. Lineage: Eukaryota; Viridiplantae; Streptophyta; Magnoliopsida; Malvales; Malvaceae.
UCCAUUUAAAAAAUACAUUUAUUGUGAAAUUAACUCUCCCACCCAGUAGCCAGCUGCAUCUUCCUUCUCUUUAUAUUUCUUCCUUUUUCUCGCUAAAAAAAUUCAAGCUUUCAUCAUCCUUAGAAAUAUGGAAGAAUGAAUGAACAUAAGAAGAAUAUGGAGAACUUACAUUUCAUUUAUUGUGGGAAGAAACUUGGCAUCUACCAUUGUAAG